UGGUGCCCUUUUCUCAGUCUAUGCAUUUUGUAUUUUUAUUUGCUCCGCUUGCUUCUUUUCAUUAUAAAUCUUCAUCAGAGUUAACACUAAUGACCACACGAUAGAGGCUGUACUAGGUUGUUCUGAGUUUUCCUCUACCAAAGGAAUUAAUCCAAAUCUCUUUACUUUAGCCUCAGUCAGACUCUUCAGACAAGGGCAAAUUAUCACAAGAACAAUCUCUAAGCCACAUAUUAACAUUCUCCUCUAAAUCUCUUGAGCCAGCGCCCCACAGUUCAAAUAACACUCAGCACCACUAUUUUCCAUGCUUCUACUAAGAUGGCCCAUUAAUCAGCACUUAAAGCAUUCAACUAUUUUUCUAAUCCACAACUCCAAGGUGCAUAUUCUUUCAAACAAAAGCAUGAUUAGGCCUAUUGCAGCAAUAUCCCAGUCCCUGGUAACAAACUCAGUCUUAGGGUGUCUAUUGCUGUGAAGAGACACCAUGACCACAGCAACUCUUAUAAAGGAAAAACUUUAAUUGGGGUGACUUACAUGUUCAGAGGCUUAGCCUGUUAUUGUCGUGGUGCAACAUGGUGGUGUGCAGGCAGACGUGGUGCCGGAGAAGUAGCCGAGUGUCCUACAUCCUGACCUGCAGGCAACAGGAAGUGGUCUUGUGCAAGACUGUCUUAUUUGGUCAUUACACCAACUCUGCAAGCAGAGGAAACAGCACUUUGGGGACAUGGAAGUUUCAGGGCCAAGCCCAGGAAAGAUCCCUGACAAAGCAGAACGGCUGUUCAACCUAAUUUCUUCAUGUUUUCUCACUCCCAGAGAUGGAGAGUUUUGCUGCCUAGAAAGGUCACUGUCACUCUUCUCUGGGUCAGCGCUACAGCUUCCAAAGGGUGCACCGGGAGGAGAGCAAUGCUCGCUAAUUUAUCACUGUAAAACGAAUCGGAUCCCAUGGAACUACAGUUAUAGAUCGUUGUGAGCCACCAUGUGCUGGAAAUUUAAUCCAGAUCCUCUGUAAGAGGACCAGUGCUCUUAACCAGAGUCACCUCUCCAGUCCUGCUAAUCUUCAUUUUUCAACUGGACUGGAUAGAAUUAUCUAGGAGACUGAUGGGCAUGUCUACAGCGUAUUUAUGAGGACGUUUCCAGAAAGGAUCAGCUGCAGGGGAAGACACCUUGAAUGCAGGCAGUGCCAUCCCUUCGACUGUAACAAAUGGAUGAAGACGACAAAGCCAGCCAAGAGCCACUGUCCCUGCCUUUGCAUCUUGGCCUGUCAUGAAGGAAGGCUCUGCUCUGUCUCACCCAUCACUGUGAGGCAAAAGGACUCCCUCCUCCUUCAAGUUGUUUCUUCCGGGUACUGUGGUCACCACAGCACGACACAAUGGUACCUAACAUGCAGUAUGGAAGAGGUGGUCUGGCACUGACACCCAUGCAGACUCCUCUGCCAGUGCUUUUGUCGGUGGAUGGAUGAGGAGAUCACAGUCUCACAGGAAGUUAACUUGUUCUCAGCUGGAGCUUGGUUGGAAUUCUCUCACUCUCCCCACCUUCUCUGUCCUGGGCUGUCAGCUAACCACAAAGCAACAAUGACGUUCUCCUUUUUCCCCCGAAGAUUUUUUCGCAUAUUAUAUCUUUUGUAUAUAAGGAAAAUACAGAAAGGAUUGAAUUUUAAACAUUCCUAGCCUUUUGUGGGUGUUGAAGUAUUUGGGGCUAAAUCUUGAUCUGUGUGAUGUAAUUUCACCACCAUCUUCUGAGAUAAAAUUGUAAAAUACAAAUAGCAACUUUAGACUAGUUUAAAGUAAACUAAUAAUAUG
Molecule: non-coding RNA, 1790 nt
Organism: Myodes glareolus (Bank vole)
Lineage: Eukaryota; Metazoa; Chordata; Mammalia; Rodentia; Cricetidae
Source: RefSeq, a predicted model, not a curated record